UACGGGAGGCAGCAGUGGGGAAUAUUGCACAAUGGGCGGAAGCCUGAUGCAGCAACGCCGCGUGCGGGAUGACGGCCUUCGGGUUGUAAACCGCUUUCGCCUGUGACGAAGCGUGAGUGACGGUAAUGGGUAAAGAAGCACCGGCUAACUACGUGCCAGCAGCCGCGGUGAUACGUAGGGUGCGAGCGUUGUCCGGAUUUAUUGGGCGUAAAGGGCUCGUAGGUGGUUGAUCGCGUCGGAAGUGUAAUCUUGGGGCUUAACCCUGAGCGUGCUUUCGAUACGGGUUGACUUGAGGAAGGUAGGGGAGAAUGGAAUUCCUGGUGGAGCGGUGGAAUGCGCAGAUAUCAGGAGGAACACCAGUGGCGAAGGCGGUUCUCUGGGCCUUUCCUGACGCUGAGGAGCGAAAGCGUGGGGAGCGAACAGGCUUAGAUACCCUGGUAGUCCACGCUGUAAACGGUGGGUACUAGGUGUGGGGUCCAUUCCACGGGUUCCGCGCCGUAGCUAACGCUUUAAGUACCCCGCCUGGGGAGUACGGCCGCAAGGCUAAAACUCAAAGGAAUUG
Molecule: ribosomal RNA, 562 nt
Filed under: uncultured bacterium
Lineage: Bacteria
Description: bacterial SSU rRNA
Rfam family: Bacterial small subunit ribosomal RNA
Source: RNAcentral